Cricetulus griseus (Chinese hamster) is the source of this 423-nucleotide non-coding RNA. Lineage: Eukaryota; Metazoa; Chordata; Mammalia; Rodentia; Cricetidae. The record is from RefSeq and is a predicted model, not a curated record.
UGAGUCUCCCCGGCUCCCUCCAGAAUGGAGCCAUCCGAGUCACUGAAUUCCAGUAUUCACGGUACCACUGUGUCUUCCUCCCCAGAACUCCUGGAACCUGAGAGUAAUCCCCCAUCCACUUUCUUACUGUUCCAGCAUCUCUCUAUCUGCCAUAGUUUGGAUCUGCGCUGUUCUGCACAGGCCUGUGAGUUACUCUUGGUUCCUGGCACAAAGGUGAUGGAAAUUUUGAAAAGGCAGAGAACCUAGUGGGAAGCUUUAGGUCAUUGUGUGUGGGGAGUGUGCCCUCAUGCAACAAAAAACAAAGGAGAACAUGGCCCAGUGUGCUGACCUUUUACCCCACAGAAGGCAUGUAAAGAAGAAUCUUACCAGAUCAGGACUGGAACCUCCAAAACUGAACCAGAAUAAACUUGUUCCCCUCCGUAA